UGCAGAUAUUUUCAAUUGGGGUGCUGAACCUUUGGGGACAGUUUGGUGCUCCAUGACCAGUUUUUAUAUUGUUUUUUUUGGUGGCAAGCACGAUGGAAAGGAGCCAGAACCCCGGGUUGUCAAAACCAUUCAGCGCAAAACUGGCAGGGUAUGAGCGGCAAGUGCUUGUAACCAGAUUACCUGAAAGGUGCUGAUAUGCUGCGCCACUGAACUACGUGGCACAGCACGUCAGCACGCGUGUAUGUUGUGAGAUAGAGAGAGGAGCGAACGGAGAGCCCUGCUUAUCACAGGGGAGCAGAGAGAUACAUUUUUCUUGAAAGUAAUGAAACGAUUGCGAGCUUUAGAGUCUGAAAUUGCACAUAUUAUAUUUUAUAGGCUGUAUUGAUAAAAAUAAAAAAUAAACAUAAAUAUUAAUCUACGACUUCAAUUUCAGGGUUGGGAUCUUGUUGGCAGGGCGGGGGUAUCCGUUGGCAGGGUGGGGCGCCCUGGUCAAUACACUACAGGGGAAACACUGAUAUAGUAUCUACUUUAAGAGACACUGGUUUAUCUGUACUUUUUGAUCAAACUUUACAAUAUAUAUAAUGAUGCUUUAAUGCAUUGGAUGAUCUCUAAAUCUGAACACCAAACUUGACUGUGCAGCACAGCAGGUGGCCACUUAGUAUUAUACACAGCAGUAAUAUCACUUUGCACAGCUUCAACGAGAGUCACUUUUUGUUCACUAUGUCCAUCUGCACUGUAUGUGUGUGCGUGUGUGUGCAGAUGCUACAAUACAGGGCUGGUUGCCAUAAUGUGAUUGUACAAAGGCAGCAGCAGGAUAGAUUCUGGAGAACAAUGGACCGGAGUCUGGUGGACGUGGACGCACGCACUAAUAUUUCAUUUUAAUUUAAACGAUCACGAACAGUACAGACACUUCUGUCAUGACGCGUGGUGAGAUGUUUGGCGCACGUGUUGAACACUUGGUGCAUUUUAACUGCAAAACUUCUCAACGUAUCAAAUCUAAACAUCAGAGUGUACAGGAGCAAAUGCAUAAGCUACAGAAAAAUAUUAAAUCAGUUUCUCUUUGUCCGUAAAUAAAUAAAUUAACAGGAUUGAUACAACUAAUGGUGAAAGGCAUCCUAGUCUUGCAUUAUUGCAUUAUUGUUCAUGAUUAGAUAAAAAAGGGCCUCCUCAUUUUUUAUUUAUCUACAGAGCAGAAGGCAUUUUAAACUGAUUAUUACAGCUAUUAAGUUCACAGAAGUGUGAGAAAUUGACCCUCUAAUAGGUUAGCAAUAAAGUUUUGAUAAAUUAAAUAUCUGAAUUAACACAUAAUAAAAACGUAUAUAGAACAUUUUGUUAGUUGUUGGUUGCUCUCCUUUGAGAAAAACCGAGGCAGAUGUAAAUCCAUGUUAGUCUCUCCGUUUGUCACUCUCUUUCUUUGCCAACAGACCUUUUGCUGAAUGGAAAGGCUUUUUCUCUUUAGUGGGAUCCUCUUCUGCACCCCUUGGUCAUUCCUUCGGGUUCUCUGACAUGUUGCUUUUAGUUGCACUCUCCCUUCUCGUUGUCUAGUAAAACCCAGUAGAACGCAUCAUUUCCUGCGAGCCAGUGCAGGAAUGUCGCCAAAGACACCAAAUACAAAAAAAAAAAAAUACUGCAAAAUACUAUGAGUUAUAUGAGUAGUCGAAUGGGUUAAUUAGCGUUGAACCAUCUCCUUUUGUAGUGCCUUGGCUAAAACAGAUAUUUACGGACAUGUAGUAGUUAACCACUUCUUUCUUGAAUAGACUGAUGCCCUCUAUCAAAUAAUACUCCUACUUAGAGGAUUCUGACUCAUCACAUUCACAGAGCUGUUUAGCAGUGAAUCUAGUAAGUCAAUAGAACAUCAUGUUUUUUUUCAGUCUACUUGUUUAUUUGACAGAAGCAAAUGUAUGUGAUAUUUCUUUACAGUAAUAAUAAUAAUGCAUCAGAUUUCAAAUAGCGAUUUAUCAGAGAGCCUCAAAGCGCUUUACAUUGGAUACAUCAUUCAUUCGCUCACACAGUCAGACUGACAGAAACGUGGCUGCCAUUUUGCACCUACAGCCUCUCCGACCACCACCACACAACACUCACAAUCAUACACCAGUGGAGUUCACACACUGGGAGCAAGGUGGGUUAAGUGUCUUGCCUAAGGGCACAAUGGACAGACUCAGGAUAGGGGGGAAUCGAACCGCCAACCUUCCAGUUAUUGGACGACCGCUCUACCUCCUGAGCUACUGCCGCCCCAUAGUGCAUCAACGUAGAUGCCAUGCAUGCAGGUUUCAGUCCAUGGCUCGUUUGCAACCUCAAUAAAUUAACAGAACUACAGAGUACUAGUAAUAACAGUAAUGAUGUAUCAGAUUUUAAAGCACUUUUCAUCAUUGACCUCAAAGCACUUUACAGUGGAUACAUCAUUCAUUCGCUCACACAGUCACACCUUGGUGGCGGUUUGCUAGUUUGCGCCUGUGGCCUGUCCCACCACCACCACACGACACUCCCAAUCAUACACCAGUGGAAGACACACACUAGGAGCAAGGUGGGUUAAGUGUCUUGCCCAAGGACACAACAAACAGACUUGGAACAGGGGGGAAUCACACCACCAACCUUCCAGUUAUUGGACGACUGCUCUACCUCCUGAGCUACUGCUAAGGAAGGCCUCAUGUCGUGAGGGUUCAUGUGUGAACAGUAGAGUCAGGUAGAUUUUCAGGUGUGAGCUCUGGAAAUUCUCCAGAAAAUUUCUAGGGUUUACGUCUGACAUCAGCUGGGAUGAGACUUCUUAGCUUUGUACUUUUGAUUAUAUGAGUGUGUUAGUGCUUAUACAGGUAAUGUAACACAACCAAAUGCUCUAUUAUAGAUCCAGUUUCAGACAGUUUCAUUAUAGCGUUGACGGACUUUACUACCCUUGAUUUACAGUAUAUGACAGACAAAUACAGGCUCACCCUCCCACUCUUCAGACUGAACUAGUUGAGAUGACAGGAUUUCCAGGGACAAUGGAGGGAAAAUGAUGAAAAAAUGUGGCCAUAUGGAAGCUCUAUAAACACACUCAUGAUUGAAUCUUCAAAAGAGAGAGCCUGAUGGUGAUCUCCUGAACACAUGGCUGAUGAUGGAUCAUACACUGAUGAUGUUUUCUGGCUGGUUUCACACUCUGUUCAGCUAAUUGAGCUGCAUCCUUCUGUCUGUGUAUGUGUGUGUGUGUGUGUGUGUGUGACUGAGCGGCGUGAGGCUGCAGAGUCACUCACUUGUGAAAAUGUGCACACGUACAAUGUGCAGCCUGUCUGCCACCUGCUGCAGGUCUCAUAUCAAGGCAUGCGGAGCUGUUAUGCACACGCACAAGUACACACACACACCAUGACAAACAUGAGCAAAGACUCUGGUUGCACCCUCCUCAUCGCUACACACCCCCACACUCGCCCCAUCACUGCAGACAGCCCAAAAUCUGCUUGACCGGUACCCCAAUUAACCCUUUGACAUUGUUUCUGUAUAAUAAGAGUAUCUAUGUGUGUGUGAGAGAGAGUGUGUGUGUGAGUGUGUGUCCUCAAUCUGUCAAUCAGGUGCAUUUAGAGGCACAUGCCCAGUGAUGUGUGUGUGUUUUGGGGUACAGGUUUGUGGAAGAUAUUUAGGGACAAUGGAAAUGUUGGAUUAGACAAAUUCUGGACUUCCUUCUUUUGCUGCCCCCUUCACAAGAUGUGUUUACUUUUUGUCCAAGACAGUUAACAUGAAGAUAAAAAGGACGCAUGCACACACCUGGUUGAUGCACACACUGUGUUAAAAAUCGAAAUAAGACUGCCGAGACCAACAAGGAUUUUUAAUGAUUGUGCACAAAUCUGAACUUCACUUUUGCUGCCGACCAGGUAACAUUCAGUCAAAUUUCUGCUCAGCUGGUCAGUUGUUGUCUGCUCCUGUGCUUGGGCGAGGUAACAUCAUAUGUAUGUAUUGGCGUGGGUGUUGAAUCUACACCUGCCAGACUCAAUUUAAGGGACAGCUAACCAAUGAUGUCGAGUCAAUCUCCUUCAGUUAGCCACCGCUCAAACUGCAGGUCUUCAUUUGUAAAAAGCAGCAGCAUCAGUGCAGCUGUGAGAGUGUGUGUGUGUAUGUUAUAAUGAGUUGAGAAGCAGGUCAGCUCUGCAGGAAGACGGAGGCCUCCUGGUGAGCAGUGGUCACCACUUGGUGAUGGCCACGCUUCAGGACACAAACGCACACACACAAGGAAGUUGAUGAAGUGUAUGCAAUGAGGUCAGGGAGGUGUGUGGGAAGAGGAGGAUGGCGUGAGAACACCAGGCGACAGGGAGGGAAAGCCCUCUUACUUUUUUCAUGGAUCCAUAUUGUUGUGCAGCAGUGACCGCAGGCUGGACACAUGCCGGCCAUUUGGACAACAGGUGGUCAGGCAUGGUCCGCUGUGGUCAACAGACACUGCAAAGCCACUGUGAAGAACAAAGACAUGGAAAUUAAGUUUGGUGUUAGAGGAAACUUCAGCAAAGUUUGGAUUUAUCUGGAUUUUGGCGCUUCCUGUACAAAUACAAUCCUGUUAAUCCCCAUCAAUAUGAGGUAGAACCAUCAAGGGGUUUGACUGUACAUCACACAUGAUGGCAGCAUGUCCUCGAUGUGCAUUAUUCAAUCAGACAUUUACAAGCUGCAAAACCAUACAGUGGUUCAGGGGGUCCUGACUCCCUGUGUUUGCUGGACCUGGUCACAUAAUUAAUCAAAUAUGUAAAUAAUAUGUUAGAAUUGUUAUAAGUGGUAUAAGUAUAAGAGGUAUAAGUACUUACAGGGUAACGCUUCCUUUGUUGCAGGACAGCAACAUUAGUAUUAUCAUCAGCAUUAUUAUUGAGCUUCAACUUUCAGAUCUUGAAAUGUUUUCAGGCCGGUUGAGCUACAUAAUCCCAACCCCAUGUCUUCUGGGUCCAGCAGGGGUUUUUCUACCUGUUGUUGGAUCCAGAAAAAAAGAAAAAAAGGUCCACAGAAGGUGCCCAAGAAUAUUGGCUUGAUGCUGACACCAUCUCAACAAAUUGUUGAGGAUGCUAGAAAGAGGGGGUUUCACCAGACCUCCCUCUUGAUGCUUGAACCCAAGUUCAGAAGCUCAGAAAAGAAAAACUUAACUUGCAUCUGCGAUCUUAUUCUUUUGUUCACCGCCAAAAUUUCUCACAUUAAUCCUGACACUGUACCAACCUGCUCGUCAAACUCAGAAUCCACUUUACAAUGAGCAAGACCAUAGGUCUCUUGAACUCUUCAGCAAGAAACGGAGACUCCCUCUGUAUUCUGGCAGAGAACCAUGACCUUGGACUUGGAAGUGUUGAUUACAACAAACGCAGUAUUAGCAAAUGAUCACAGUCUGGUUCUACUCAAGGUUUCUGCCUGUUAAAGGGGACUUUUGUCUUGUCACUGUUACUCUCUAAAUGUUGCUCAUAGAAGAUUUAGAUGGAAUCAGAGUGGGUUGGAUCUUGCAAAAUGGAACUCAAUCUUAUCUGGUCUCAAUGUUGGGUCUUUACAAUGGAAGAGUACGGUUAGACCAGCUCAAUUUGUGGAGCGUCUUAAGAUAACAUUUGUUGUGAAUUGGUGCUAAAUAAGUAAAGAUUGAUUGAUUGAUUGAUUGAUUGAUUGAUUGAUUGACUGACUGACUGACUGAUUGAUUGAUUGAUUGAUUGAUUGAUUGAUUGAUUGAUUGAUUGAUUGAUUGAUUGAUUGAUUGAUUGAUUGAUUGAUUGAUUGAUUGAUUGAUUCUCAUCCUGGCUGCUUUGCAUUGGGCUGCCAAGUGCCUCAAGGUAACAGUCUGAUGUGUCAAACAGCGUGUUUUCAGUCACUGUUAAUCUUUAAAACAAAUUAUCAUUUGUUCUAUUUCAUUAUCAUUAACUAAGUCACUGGCAAAUUUGUAUACAAAGGUACAACUUAAAUUACAACUUAAAAAGUUUCAACCAAUCAGCAACCUUUGAUGUGGAAGUGCUGUUCUUUAGAUGCCCAAUUAGACGCCAAAAAAGCCUGUUUUUGGGGCCAUAAAAAACAUGUUGAAAGCCUUGUUCAAACAGCAGUUUUGGUCUGAAUGGUUCAGGACUCCCACAGCAGGAAAGGGAAUUUUUUUUUGGAACACGUUCUUGUAGGUAUGAAGGUAUUAAGGGCAAGAGACUGGCAAAUCAGGCACGAAUCAGAUUGAUCAAAAGUUAUAUUGAGUCAGCGCUGUCAGUAUAGUGACCGCUACUGAUAGGCUUCAAAACUCUGCUUCAGGACCAAAGGAGUGACGUCAUGCUACAUACACUUAUUAUACAGUCUAAGGUUUCAAAGUAUAAUUUAGUGUGGACUUCACCCCUUAACUUAAUGCAUUACUGAACAGGCCCCAUGUUUGUUGUUAUUUGUUAUCCUCUGUGAGAGCUAAAGGCCGCCUUUGUGCCUCAUUUUAAGACACACAAACCUGUGGGCGCCAACAUGGACACAAGCUGACUUGCUAUUGACAAAAUGAGGGUGCUGGGCAUAAGUAUGAGGACUGUGUUAGGUAGAGAAAACAAGGACACUUAUGCUGUAUACUAAGAUAAUUUACACAGGGUGUAGAAUAAGGCUGUAGGAGGGGUAAAAUAAUAAACAGCAUCACUGUUGAUGAGCUGAUAAAAUUAUCUCCACUCAUGAAAAGUGGAAGGGAAAAUACAGAACGGAAAAAAAUAUCCAUUAUUGUCAAGGUUGUGUUUUGAUGUUAAGAAGAUCGUGGUGAUGCCAAACAGCCAAUAAAAACUCUCAGCCGUGUCUUAGUCAUGCUAAAAAAUUGUAGGUUCUAAAUUAUGACCUAAAUAAGAAAGGCUAAGUUUGACCUUAGGCAAAGCUGUUUAACGCAUGCUACUGUUUCCGCUGUUAAAAAGCAAUUUACAACUCUUUCGACGUCCAUACCAGAGGCUCUGUCUCAGAGUCUCUGUGCUGCCAAAGACGUCUUGACUGCAGUUUAAUGUCUUAAAUGUACGUUUUGGAGAUGUGUAUGAAUUUGUUUUGUUUGUGGUUGUUUUUAAGUUUUGAGAACUUUCUUCGAGGAGGCUAAUGCAAACUGUUUUGGAAAAGAAUCAACUUCACAUUCGGUCCUCUGGAGAAAAUCCACACAGCUAGUUGAGUUUCCAGGACAUGGUCAGAAACGAACAGGUGCAAAAUCAAGCUGCUGAAUCAGAUCAUAUAUUAUAUAAUUACACGUGUGGACUGGCCCGUGUGUGCGUGUGUGUGUGUAUUUGUGUGUGUGAGAGACGUGCAGCAGUUUGCAGGCUGAUGGGCCACGGCAUUGUUGAGAGGGCAACUGUCCAUUCUGCACUAUUGUCUGGAAGAGCGCUACUGUCUGUGAGACAAAAGAAGCACCUGCCUGAUCAUCACAACACACACACACACACGCACUGUGGGCUGCCAUGUGCCGGACACAAGGCCACUGUGUGCCCAUAACCUCCCAUGACACAGAGAAGGGGAGUGUGACAUGGGGCUGCACGUAACACAUGCUCAGUGUAUGUGUGUGUGUGUGUGUGUGUGUGUGUGUGUGUGUGUGUGUGUGUGUGUGUGUGUGUGUGUGUGUUUGUGAGGGUUGGGGUUAUAGAUCUUGGCGCGAAGGAUGGGGGGAGUGUGUGUGUUGGGGGUCACUUUGGCGGGAAUAUCAGGCUUGUUGGAUUUACAUCUGUUCAGCCGUGUGUCAGGCAGAGCGCCAUGCACAAACACACACACACACACACACACACACACACACUCCCACCCACACCCACACACACAUACAUACACACUGAUCAUUUGUGAGCAAAAGAGAGGCAUCAUGUUGGCAUGUGCCUGAUUAACAGCAGGUCAGUUUGUCUUAGUGUGCAUGUGUGUGUGUGUGUGUGUGUGUGUGUGUGUGUGUGUGUGUGUGUGUGUGUGUGUGUGUGUGUGUGUGUGUGUGUGUGUGUGUAUGUGUGUGUGUGUGUUCAGAGCAGCGGAAGCGACACUGAAACACUUGUUGUACAUCUGUCCGAGCAGCAGUACAGUGACAGAGCAGCUCUGUUGAAGAAUACAGACACGGACAGACUCAGUCUCUGAUUCUGCGCUCAAGUGCUGUCAGAAAAGUCGUCUUCUGUUUCUGACUCUGAAAGGUUUAUUUAGAUGUUAAAGAGGAUCCCAGAAUAUAUUUUAACACACCAAAGCCCACAACAUUAAUAAUAAUAAUAAAAUGGUCUUUCUUACCUGACUUUAUUGAAGUUACUUAAUGUAUUUGCCAGACAUGCUGACAGUGCAUAAUUGCUUAAAGGGAUAAAGCCCUGACGAGUUGAUCACCGAGUGCAGUGGAAUAAUUCCAUGAAGUAAUAAUCAUCAUAUUAAUCAUUUUGCACUACAGCAGUAGUUCUUCUGCCAUAGCGUCUCAGUCUAUUUGCAUUUUCAUAAAAUAAAUGUUCUUCCUUGAGCUGCGAAACUCUGCUGCACUCAGUGAUGGACUCAUUAGUGCUCCCCCCACGAACAAACGGCUGCUGGAAGAGAGUGGGUUAGUUGUUUUUGGUCUCUUUGCUAAAGAAAUCAUGCAAAGCCAAAAGAUGUUUAAUGGCUAGUACUAUUGCUGGGACCCUCUAUGUACUGUUGAUGAAGUUAGGUGCUGUUCUGAGUGUUAUUUGUGGCUAUAGAGUGGCGUUUUGUGUGUGGAGUGAUAGACCACUGUGUAUUGCUAUCGUGUGGUUGUUACUAAAGUUGGUAUCACUAGAGAAGCAAGCAGUCGGCUACAUUCAUCUCUGGAGGGGGUGUCUAACUCGGUGUUAUGGUGUGUUUGACCCUAACUUAUUUUUAAGCCAGAAUAUCCCUUUAAUGCAUCUUUCAGAAGUGUUUGGCUCAUUUGUUAAAUGUAUUUUCACUUUAAUCUCUAUAGGCGAGCUGAGAUAGCUAGUCCUUUUGAACCUCAUGAUCUUGAUCACUAAAAAGAGCCGGAAUUCCCAUCAAUUGGAUCUCCUGUGAGGUUGUUAACCUGAGAAAGAUGAAGGAUCCAAAUCCUGCUCUCACAUGGUACGAUAGAUCACAGACAACUUGAGGAAGAGCGUACAGCCUGUGGAGAUUUGGAGUAAUCUGUAGAUUUUUAUGGAUAUAACUUGUUUGAUUAAAGUCUUAGACUGGACUUGGAUCGCGGGGGACCCUCUUUGUCGCUGCAAGAGAAGCAGACUGUUGCACGUUCAACAGGGUUUAACAUUAACUGUGUUAGUUUGCUGAUCGUUUCUUCCAUGUGAAAUCUUUUGGGUUUUUGCAGCAUAUUUGUCCUUGUUGCCCAAAACUGCAGGUAACUCUCUGAUGUGAGAUUUGCUGGUGCAAGAUUGUGGUUAAGGUGGGAUAUGUUAAUAAUCACUGUGAAACUGUUUCUCUCUCCCCUGAUGUCACACUCUUUUGCCCACUGACGUGUUGGCUAGUCAGUGACUCUGAAGCUGUAGUAAAAGCAUCUCAUCACAGUAUGGUAAAAUAGGAGAGUGUCUCCACCAGGAGUUGACCUUUAGAUCUCCUCCCGAGCCAAAUCUGAACCCUUCCUGUGGUGAGUCAGACGUGUUUCUGCUUUAGCAGCUCUUUAUAAAACCAUUUAUAUCAAGCGAACAGAGGGAAACGCAGUGACUCUGGUUACCAGGUUGGACACAUGGCCGAAUGAUACCUGUGUUAUCUGUGUUUGUGAGGGAGUGCAAACAGUAACAGGCAAGUGAUAAAGCAGCGGCGACUUUGAACAAGCAGCCAACUUCUCCCACGCUGCAGGCACGAAGAUCAGACCAACGUCCGACAGUAAAGAGUGAACACAGAGAAAGAGAGGAAAGGUUCAGCACUCUUCCCAGAGUUCACCCAAAGAGGAUCAGGGUGAAUGGCUCAAUCUCUGACUUCCCUGCAGUGUCCAGCCAGGCUUUAAGAAUCACACCAGUGUUUUUACAACUGGACUUCAACUUGCAGCACAUUCCCUUCACUGAGAGCUGCACAAGUGUUUUUCUUUGCAGAUCACAAUCUUUAAAUCCCUGAAUUAUCUCUUUCUGUGUUUGAUGUGGUCUGUUAUGAAGCUGUAAUAUGAUAAAGUUCUCAUCUUAUUCAUUUUCCACAGCAAAUAUUCUCAGUGAGUUUAAAGUUUGACUAUGUAAGGAAGCAGGAAGAGAUUCCUUGUGUCUGAAAACUUGACUUUCAGAUACACAGGACAAGAUUAAUAGAAGAGACAGGAGUCACGGCUUUGUCUACAGGGGGCGCUAAAAGAAAAACUAAUUGAAAAUUCCUCACAGGAGCUUUAAUGUCCCAACAAUAAAGACUGGCAAAGACUUGUUUUUAACGUUGUCAUUUCCUCAACAAUUCCUGUUCUGCAUUCCAGGAAUUGGCAGAGAUCAAAUUGACAUGGUGCCCACAGUUUAUAAAAGUACUAAAUAAGUGCCAGCUGAGUAUCAAAAUAUUCAUAUUAUAGUAUCACUAAAGCCUAUUCCCACUGAGGACAGGGCGGCACGUGUCCCCCAGGCUCCUGGAUCUUUCUCAGUGACUGAUGUGCCCCCUCACUUGUGUAGAUUCUAAUCUUUUUAGUUCUCUCUGGUGAAGAGGUGAAAAAACUCUCACUGGGACAGUUGAGGCGCAUUCUGCUCGAUAACAAACUUUAUGUUUCACAGCGUCAAUCUGGGACAACAUCAGACGAUGAGAUGCUCACCGGACUCACCUGUCCAACCAGCGUUUUGAAACUGCUCUGACAAAAAGAUCUGAGAAUUAGUUUCACACAUGCAGUAGAUUAAAACCUCAGAAAAGAGAGCUGUGUUUAUUGAGAUAUGUCUAGUGCAUGUGCAUGUGUAUCAGGGGUCUCCUUACUAGUGAAGCUCUGCACACACAGUGAAGGGUUGAAUGAGGAACAGGGAGGGACAAGGUCGCUUUCAGUGGAGGGAGGAACUGGACACAUAAAUCCUCCAGCUUCUCUUUGAUAAGGCUUCAAUUCAGCAGGGAUCAUGUACCAGGCUAAUCGCUGCCCGCCUCAGUCUCCCAGCCAACUCACAUAACACACAACAAUUACUCUUAAUACAAAUUCUUACUAAAUUUAACUCAGCCCUGCCAAAAAAUAUAAAAUCACACAGAAAUUGAACUAUUUAUUCUCUAAAUUCAGCACAAAGAUCAACAGCGAGGCCGUACCCCCAUAAAACUGACCAUAGAAAACUUUACACACAAUGAAAACACGCACUCGUUUCCACACAUUCCUCUCCCCCCUCCUAAAAUCAGGCCAUUUCUGUCUUGAGAUGUUCACACAAUUUAGUCAAGCUAAUGCGAGUGGACAGGCGCCCACUGCCGAGGCUGCCCCGCACAAUAUGCUUUAAUUACACAUUCACUAAAUGCAAACAUCUGAGCAUGUUAUCUGCUGCUCAGCUCUGCAGCCCCAGCGGGAAGGACAGGGGGUAGGGCUACACACUGCAAUCUAGAGCCAAACUUUUCUACAAACUCUCAUAUUUGAUGUUGAGUAUCUUCCAGCUGAGAGGUUAGAGAAUCAGCAGGUAAUCUGCAGCAGGUUCCUCUUUAGUUAAGUUCUUUUUAAAACCGUUUUGUGCACUUCAAAAUUGAAGUUUGAAACACAGGUUCGACUUUGUUUCAGAUUUCCAACAUUUGUAGUUUAUUCUGAAUAUACCGACUCUCUGAAGUAGUUGUUUAUCAAUAAACUUUGAAAUAAGUUCCUAAUAUUUCACUUUUUUGGGUCAUACUCCCAUUCUUUUUUGACAUCAUGCUCAAAUGUUAUUACUUACUAAUGUGUUAAAGAUUGUAGGUCAUGAAACCUUGAUGAUCUGACAAACUGGUAAUUUUAUUUACUUUGAGCGGUGUUUACUACAGUCACACAUGUCACUAGAAAUGGCUGCACGGACCCUCAGUCAAUUAGAUUAAUGUAACAUGAGCCUCUAAUUAAAAGACAUAUGUAAAUACCUCUGACCCAUGGUCUUCACCCCCUGUAACUGAUAUGAGCUUGAUUGUGAACCAAUCUUAGUCACACAAGUUCCCAAAGCUCUAAAAAACAUUCAUCACAAAAAAUCUGCUGGUCCAGAUAACCAUAACACUGAGUUAGACACCGCCUCAAGAGAUUAAUUUUGCCAACUGCUUGCUUCUUUAGCUAUACCAACUUCAGCAAUGACUGUACGAUAGCCAUACACAGCAGUCUGCGUCUCCAUGCGCACAAACCUCAACCAAAAAGCCACUCUAUAGCCACAAAUAACACUCAGAACAGCACCUAACUUCAUCAACAGUACAUAUAGCGUCCCAGCCAUAGUACUAGACACCAAACAUCUUUUUAGCUUUGCCUGAUUUCUUUAGCAAAGAGACUAAACACAACUCACCCACUCUCCUCCAGCAGCCACUUGUUUGUGCGGGAGCCCUGAUGAGUCGAUCACCGAAUCCAGAAGAGUUUUGCAGCUGAAGGAAGAACAUUUAUGAUCACUACUUCAUAGAAAUGCAAUCAGACGCAAAGGCAGAAGAACUACUAUGUCUGCAGUGCACAUACAAGAUACUAAAGAGCUCUGAUUGCAUUUCCAUGAAGUAAAAAUCAUACAUUUUCGUCCUAAAGAUGCUGAACUCUGCUGCACUUGGUGAUCGACUCAUCAGGGCCCAGGGCUAUGCUGUCUUUGGUUUCAAGGAUCCUAAACGGCUCAAAAACUACUUAGCUGGUCGGACUCAGAGUGUCCAAGCAGAGGGCCAGGAUUCGGACUUUCUGGAGAUCACUCAAGGUGUGCCCCAAGGUUCUAUUUUGGCUCCUAUUUUAUUUCCUAUUUUUUUAUAAAUGAUGUAGGUCAAGACAUUCAAGCUAAGUAGCAUUUAAAUGCAGAUGAUGCAAUCAUCUUCACCUCUGCAGCACAGAUGAUUGAAGAACUUCAGGCUGCACUUCAGCUAUUUUACAAAACACUUUGAAGGGUCUAAAAUUGCUUUUAAUUGCCCAUAAAACAAAGUUUAUUAUUUUAUCAAAGGUUUGCCUGCAAAGCUUUGACGAUGUAAGAAUUUCUGUCUGAUGGCACAUUGAUUGAAAGGGUGUCCUUCUACAAAUAUUUGGGAAUAUGGGUUCAUAAAAAGCUUUCAUUGAAUGUACAUAUUUCUAAUCUAAUUAAAAAACUCAAAGUGAAGAUUAGGGUAAGAGUUAGGCCCAGUCUCUCUUGAGAUUUGUAAUCUUAAUGGGACUCCCUGGUUGAAUAAAGAUUAUACAUAAUUUAAAAUUGGUACACAGUAAAAGACCAUAAGCAUGGUCACUUCAUCCACAGAACCGUCAAUUUCUCUGUACAAAUGUUUGUCCUUUCCCAUCAUAUCAGCAAUUAUUUUAAUGUUAUUGUUAAACUUGAUGGUACAUACACAGUCUUAGCUGUGUAUGAUAUCAGCUAAAGGAUGGUCAUAUGGUCAACAUAUAUUGUUGCCUAAUCUCAUCUUGGAUUUUUAUUGUCUCUGAGUCUGCCUAUUAAUUUUGAAAGCUGUGAAAUGUUUGAGAUUAUUAAGGUUUAAACAACUUCUGACCUGGAGUCCAGUUUGUUUCUCAAACUGAGCCUGACAUAGACAGGAGGAGACUGCUGUGGAUGUAUGGUGUAUUUUUCAUCAUUUUGAUUUUUUCUUAAUUUAUUUCUUAUGUUCUUAAUUUUUUUUCAUGAUACUAUAAAUUAUUUAACUUCAUUCUUUACUUUGAAAUUCCCCAAAAUCUUAAUUUAAUUCAUGAUAUUUGUCAAGUUUUUAAAUUAAUUAAAUGUUUAUUUUAUGUCUGGUAACUCAUUCUUUUAAGAUACAAGAGCAGAAAAAGUUACAGUUUUUGAAUACAAGACACUAACGUCACAUAUCUAAAAUUUUUCAACUUUUACAUUUCUCUCUCAAUAUUUUCACUCUUGACUUUUUCAUCUUUUCUUGACUUUUCUGCCUUUUUUAAAUGAGUAUUCAUGGAGUCACUUACAGGAUCUGUGACAUUUUCAAGAGAAAUAUCAUUAAGAUUUUGAUUUGACCCAUACUGAAUAUUUUAAAUAUCCCUCCUCCAUAAAAAGUGAUAAUUCAGUGCAGAACACAUGUUAAAGGGAGGCUAAAUGAAUGGAAAUUUGGUGCAGUAAAUAAAAGUUCCAGCAGAACAAAGAGCUGAAAUAAAGCGCCCUCUCUUCAUUCAUUAGCGUGCUGUUGGCUCUGAGGCGUCCAUACAUUCAGGAUGUUAAUGCAGGCUGCAGACAGAUGUGAAUCUAAAUAGCACCACACUGUGAGCCCUCACUAAAGCUCACCAUGACCCCCACGCUACACUGUGCAAGACAGAGGGCACCAGAGAUGGGGGAGAAACCUGGAGAGUGGGUCAGCUUCAUGUGUCUCAGUGCGGGUGGAGAUUACUGCAUUUAUCGUAGAUUUAC
Molecule: non-coding RNA, 14267 nt
Organism: Xyrichtys novacula (pearly razorfish)
Lineage: Eukaryota; Metazoa; Chordata; Actinopteri; Labriformes; Labridae
Source: the annotation of a GenBank genome assembly